GACGAACGCUGGCGGCGUGCUUAACACAUGCAAGUCGAACGGAAAGGCCCUGCUUUUGUGGGGUGCUCGAGUGGCGAACGGGUGAGUAACACGUGAGUAACCUGCCCUUGACUUUGGGAUAACUUCAGGAAACUGGGGCUAAUACCGGAUAGGAGCUCCUGCUGCAUGGUGGGGGUUGGAAAGUUUCGGCGGUUGGGGAUGGACUCGCGGCUUAUCAGCUUGUUGGUGGGGUAGUGGCUGACCAAGGCUUUGACGGGUAGCCGGCCUGAGAGGGUGACCGGCGACAAUGGGACUGAGGGACGGCCCAGAAUCGUACGGGAGGCAGUAGGGGGGAAUAUGGCACAAUGGGCGGAAGCCUGAUGCAGCAACGCCGCGUGCGGGAUGAUGGCCUUCGGGUUGUAAACCGCUUUCGCCGGUGACGAAGCGUGAGUGACGGUAAUGGGUAAAGAAGCACCGGCUAACUACGUG
Molecule: ribosomal RNA, 468 nt
Filed under: uncultured bacterium
Lineage: Bacteria
Description: partial 16S ribosomal RNA
Rfam family: Bacterial small subunit ribosomal RNA
Source: RNAcentral